Molecule: ribosomal RNA, 468 nt
Filed under: uncultured bacterium
Lineage: Bacteria
Description: partial 16S ribosomal RNA
Rfam family: Bacterial small subunit ribosomal RNA
Source: RNAcentral
GAUGAACGCUGGCGGCGUGCCUAACACAUGCAAGUCGAGCGAUUCUCUUCGGAGAAGAGCGGCGGACGGGUGAGUAACGCGUGGGUAACCUGCCCUGUACACACGGAUAACAUACCGAAAGGUAUGCUAAUACGAGAUAAUAUGCUUUUAUCGCAUGGUAGAAGUAUCAAAGCUUUUGCGGUACAGGAUGGACCCGCGUCUGAUUAGCUAGUUGGUAAGGUAACGGCUUACCAAGGCGACGAUAAGUAGCCGACCUGAGAGGGUGAUCGGCCACAUUGGAACUGAGACACGGUCCAAACGCCUACGGGAGGCAGCAGUGGGGAAUAUUGCACAAUGGGCGAAAGCCUGAUGCAGCAACGCCGCGUGAGCGAUGAAGGCCUUCGGGUCGUAAAGCGCUGUCCUCAAGGAAGAUAAUGACGGUACUUGAGGAGGAAGCCCCGGCUAACUACGUGCCAGCCGCCGCCGUAA